CGCACCGUAAACGAUGAUAACUUGGUGUUGGAGGUAUUGACCCCUUCAGUGCCGAAGCUAACGCGUUAAGUUAUCCGCCUGGGAAGUACGGUCGCAAGAUUAAAACUCAAAGAAAUUGACGGGGGCCCGCACAAGCGGUGGAGCAUGUGGUUCAAUUCGAUGCAACGCGAAAAACCUUACCUGGGUUUGAAGUGCUAGUGAAUGUGGUAGAGAUAUCACAGGCCUUCGGGACACUAGUAUCAGGUGC
RNAcentral lists this ribosomal RNA (247 nucleotides) under uncultured bacterium. RNAcentral describes it as "partial 16S ribosomal RNA". It matches the Rfam family "Bacterial small subunit ribosomal RNA", at positions 796 to 1041 of the family's 1533-position model. The record is from RNAcentral.